This 253-nucleotide ribosomal RNA is filed under the name uncultured bacterium. RNAcentral describes it as "partial 16S ribosomal RNA". It matches the Rfam family "Bacterial small subunit ribosomal RNA", at positions 524 to 776 of the family's 1533-position model. The record is from RNAcentral.
GACGGAGGGCGCUAGCGUUGUCCGGAAUCACUGGGCGUAAAGGGCGCGCAGGCGGCCGCGUCAGUCGGGCGUGAAAGCCCGGGGCUCAACCCCGGGACGGCGCCCGGGACGGCGCGGCUGGAGGCCGGGAGAGGGGGGUGGAAUAGCCAGUGUAGAGGUGAAAUUCGUAGAUAUUGGCUGGAACACCGGUGGCGGAGGCGGCCCCCUGGCCAGGCCCUGACGCUGAGGCGCGAAAGCGUGGGGAGCAAACAGG